UUUGCUUACAUUUCACCCUCAUAUCUGCCACCACUCCGAACACCCUCCCUUCCACCCCUGCAGUUCUUCAUAAUCUAAUCAGCACUGAUGUAUUUUCAGAGCAAGAAGGCACUGCUUUCCAUUUCAAUCAAAUUCAGCCCUUUCAAAAGAACCCAUAAUGCAAUCGUUCUGUACAAAAUUCAGGCCCAAUUUAAGCCCUAUAGACUGCAGAUGACUGAUAAACACUCCACUUCACUCCACGUCACUCUCCUCCUUGUGGCUUUCCUUUGCUGCAAUGCAUCAUCAUAAAUAAGAGCUAGCUCUGUUCUCUCUCUUUGAGUAUAGUGCAGGCCAACUUUAAAUUGGCUGUAUUAGACAGCGGAAGGAGGGAGGGUGAGGAAAUAAAAAGUUAGAAAUCCUGGCAGGUAGAACAUUUAAACAAAUGUAAUUGGGAGAAACAACAAGUCCCAACUGGGUGGACAGGUCCCAGGAACAGCUUCCCCAUUACCAAGUGAGGGGGAUGGUGGAACAGCGAUCGUUUUGGUGGGGGAGAAGAGGGAGAUUGGGAAGGUUUCGCUUAAUAAACACUUUGCUUUCUGCUGACGAUCAGAGGGGCAGAGCGAGGGAUACAACGACAGAUCGAUAGACUGAUUUGUUCCGGGCUAUCCAUGUUCAUCAGACCGUUCCCCCUCCCUUAGGUAGUGGGCAGAAAGUCUUAGAAAAAAAAAAGAAGAAGAAAAAAAAAACGAAGAGGAAGGGGUGGCGAGAAGGAGUGACUGAAGGGAGGAAAAAGAAAAUAGCAGAAAAACAGCAGGAGAGUUGAUGAGUUACAAUAGCAGACAGACAAAUGAUGAUGGGAUGGAGUAAUGCGUGAAGAAAAUAGCGGCAUGUGGGAGGGAAACUGACUACGAAUGGUGAGAGGAGAAGCAGGAGAGCAUUUGGAUAGGCUGAGGGUCAAGCAUGAAACUAAGUGACUAUAGAGAUGGUAGGAGGGGUUGGCAGUGCGGGGGCGAUGUAGAAAAUAGGAAAUCCCUUUACACACCACUGAAUCAUUUACUCAAAAACCUACCUUAAAUACUUUUCUUUAGCAUCCCCUUUUCUGCAGCUAGAAAAGACAGUCAAACCCAUCAUGUACACCAACUCUAUUCAUCACUAUUCCUGACAGCAAGCUCAGGUUUGUCUGAGCAUUUUAAAAAGAAAAAAACAAAACAACAACUCAGUAUAUCCACUCCCUGCUUAUCUCGCUCUUAGGGCAACUUUAUUCAAGAAGAGAUGAUGAGAGGAGGAGGGGAAACUGUGAGAUAAUAGCACAGCAAUUUUAUGUCUUCUCCACAAAAGCACAAGAGGCCCUGGUGUAUAAUGGCAGCCAGCAAUUGUAUCUGCAAAGAUUUCCAUUGCCAUUACAGCCCUGUUCACAAUUGCAGAAUUUGAUGUCAGUCAAAAACCUAUGGCACUGCAAAUUAUUGCAUGUUCCUUCAAGGAGCUCCGCAAAAAAGAAAAAACAAAAACAAAACAUGUAUUAUUGCACUAUAGUAGAUACAGUUUGAUCAAUGAUUUCACAGUUCAUAACUGAUCCUGCCUUAACCCGUGGCAAUUAGCAAAGAAAUUAAAGAAACAUCACAAAACUGCAGAGUGACAUCAGUGUAUCAUUCAUUAAAAAAGAGAUUAUGAACCUUUUUUAGUGAUCCAUUUCACCUUUACCCCACCGUCAAGCUACAAAUUAGUCCAUAGGGCAGAGUCCUACCAUAUAGUCGUUCUUGUAUGACGUGUGAAAGCUCUGGCAAUACAUAAAUAUCAAAUAUUAUGCAUGAUUUAAAUAUGGUUGGUCUCACCUUUAAGAUGAUCUUUUCUUGCACCUUUGGGCUGCUUUCACUGUCACUAAUAGUUAUCAAUUGGUUCCUGGAAGUUUUUCUG
Molecule: long non-coding RNA, 1893 nt
Organism: Astatotilapia calliptera (eastern happy)
Lineage: Eukaryota; Metazoa; Chordata; Actinopteri; Cichliformes; Cichlidae
Source: Ensembl